CAACAAACAGCAGCAGCCAUCCAGCAACAACAGCAAGGCGCAGCAGGACAGCAGCAGCAACAAGUAGGAAGUGUCCAACCAGUGCCUACCAGCAGGGAAGACAGCAGAGAGAGAAGGCGUGAAUGGAGCAGAGAGAGACCGCGUGAAAGGAGCAGGGAGAGAAUGAUCGAGAGAAGCAGAGAGAGACCGCAUGAAAGGAGCAAGGAGAGAAGGCAUGAAUGGGAUGGAUCGAGAGGAAAUGAGGAGAGGAAAUGCACUCGUUGCGAUUCUCAACAUGUUCAAAAUGGUCACCAUGGCAACUACCAUUUAUUUAUACAUCUGGACCGCAAGUAGUCUCAGAAGUUGAGUGACUUGUGUGUUUUGGUAAUUAAAAUCUUUCUCCCACUCUGUAUGGAUGUCAUGAACUCUGCGUGCAGAGAAUUUAGAAAAAUUUAUGUGCACUGGCUUUCACAAUGCGGUAGAAAGUUCUCGUGGCUUGAACUUACUAUGUACCCGGUAGUAGGUUGAAUAAAAAAGCUAAAACCCAAUUGAUGAAUUAUAACACACAUGUACCUACAAAAUAAGUUAACGAUCCAGUGUGGAUGAAAAAAAAAGGUUGUAUAAAAAGUCCCUGUUUGGAGAAACUUUCCAUGUCCUUACUGAAAGAAGAAUUUAACCCUUUCUUUUUUAUCAUAAAAAAAGGAUAUUUUCACUUCAUAUCAUUCAAGAAAAUGAUAACAAUUAUUCAUAAUGAAAUGUGAAGUGCAUUUAAUCGUACACCAAGCAAACAGCUAGCGAACAGCUUCAUUUUAACUAAGGGAUCUUUAUCACUUUUUUGGUCUGUUGAAUUAAUUCACAGCGGUUAGCUAUGAUCCAUACAUGAAUAUCAUAUAUCUUAAAUAAUGAUUCUUAUAAUGUUCUUUUAUUUAUAAUAGAGGAAGUCAUUUGUUUUAUUUCAGUAUAUUAUAAUUGUUUAAGGGAAACUUCUAAAACCUUGCCUUAAGACAGUCCUAUUCAGGUAGAUAAUUAGCAUCUGUCUCGUAACAUGCAUACAUUUGCAAUAAAGGAAGCAAUUUGAUGUAUUUUAGUGCACAAUAAAAAUAGUUUUAAGGGAA
Molecule: long non-coding RNA, 1094 nt
Organism: Lingula anatina
Lineage: Eukaryota; Metazoa; Brachiopoda; Lingulata; Lingulida; Lingulidae
Source: RefSeq, a predicted model, not a curated record